Long non-coding RNA from Pogonomyrmex barbatus (red harvester ant), 1352 nucleotides. The record is from RefSeq and is a predicted model, not a curated record. Lineage: Eukaryota; Metazoa; Arthropoda; Insecta; Hymenoptera; Formicidae.
UUCUCUUUCGUAUCUCUUGCCCGGCUCCAUUGUCCGUUCUCUUUCUCUCUUCUGUAUUCGUUUGCGGACAUAUAGAACAGUGUAUUCGAGGAGGCGAGAGCGAGCGGCCAUCCUUUCCGCACGAGGCGAAACUAAGGGGAAAUUGACCGAUGUGCAGUGGUUCUCCAUGACUCAGGAAGCGAAGAGUUAACCAGCCUUGAAAGCUCGACGAAUGCAAAUCGCGAGGGUUUACCGAGAGGGCUGGCCAGCCAAGAGGCCGCGGCGGGAGGAAAGGAAGGAAGAAGGAUGGACCAGUCGCGGGGGUGCAGAGUGUAGAAUGGCUGGUAGGAAGGGUGGCUUGAUAUCGGCGAGAAGAAUGCUUUUAACACGACCUUGAACGUGACUCUACAACUCGGAAGCACGAUUAGCGAUGGCGUUUAUAGUCGGUGCACCAGUGGAGCGAGCGACGAUAACGUCGCAGCGAGUUACUCGAAUCCCAAUAAAUCCAACCCGCCCUUCGCGGCCUAGGAAGCCUGCAUGAGCUUGCUCCGAGAUUAGUAUUAAUUUAUAGCGUUGGCAGAUAGGAUAGAAUGCGGUGGUGGCCGGCGCUUGCCGAGAAUGGAACGGGUGGAAAGUGAAAUUUCGCGGCCGCCGGAACAGGACCGGGUCGCCAUUUCCAUUUUCCGCGCUGAUAAUUGCAAGCUGAGGAUUCCGCUUUCGCGCAAAUAGGUAAAGUUUGCCCUGCUUGCUCGACCGAAUAUCACGCACAGAUUUCAUCGAAGAGAUGAAGUAUAAUCAGGAUAAUUACAUGUAUAUAAACGUAAAGCCUUUGUUAUUAAUAAUAAUUUAGAAUCUUUUGUACUAAUUCUUUCAUUAAAACAUCCUGCGCACUUGCAAAAGAAGACAGUAAUCAACUUCCAUCGGAAGGAAGGUCGCACGGCAUUUUUUGCGAUUUCGAACUUAGAUUAAAAGAUUUCCUUCCCCUAGGAUUGAGACGCGCUAUACUUGGCUUGUGGCUUUAUCUUAUUAAGGAGACGUAACAGAGACGCCUGUUAGGGAUGGCACGCGGCAAAGGAGAAAAAUGAAGAAAAGGCGACAACCUACCCCACGGACCAUCGGUCAUCGCCCAAAACCUCCCCGUCGCUUUUUUCUCACCCUCCGCUCCGCGAUAUCACCCUGUAAUGAAUCUGUCACAGAGCUGCGAGAUUUCAUUUCCUUCCUCCCUCAGUCUGGAGAGAACACAGCGUAAUUAUUUUUGCAACUCUAGACUUUGCAAGAUAAAUGACACCAAUUUUUAAGCCGUUCGCCGGAAUCGAUAAUAUAUUAAAAUUUUCCUUCUACUCGUUGUGGAAUUAAAUGUGGUUUGAUACAUU